RNAcentral lists this non-coding RNA (29 nucleotides) under Homo sapiens (human). The record is from RNAcentral. Lineage: Eukaryota; Metazoa; Chordata; Mammalia; Primates; Hominidae.
UGCCUUUGAGUGUCUGCAAUGGCAAGUGA